AAAGGUUUACCGAUCUAUCUAUUGACCGCGCCGCGAUGCCCGGACGAUUGGGGGAUCGCAGUGGUACAGAACUUCCCCGACUGCUCGUUUAUGUAUGGCCCUUGACUUGCGUCCGCAGUUGUUUCAGUAGUNUCAGUCGUACAGAACGGCAGGCUACCACCGAAAAACCCGUUGGCUGGCGGUUUCCAGUAGUGCCAUUAACCCAUCUUCGCGCGCAGAAAACCUGCUGUCAGUGGGACCACAAGUGUAAAACGUGUCGAUUGUCGAACUGAAAUGAAGGAGGUGCACCUAUUCUCUGUGUCAUCUGCAGCUCCGCACAUUUAGGCUUAGCAAGGUCCCCUGAAGGGCUUGACAGUCCUUUUACUGCCUGCAGUAAUCCUUGCUUGGCUGCGUGCGUUGAAACUCGCUAAGCGUUGUUAACGCUGCUGAUCGUGCUGUUUAGUGCUGCUACAUUUGCCGCAGACCAGUCUGAACCUGAAGAUAACAGCCUCAACAUGACAUGCUAUGCUAAGAUGGACAUAUUACCUGUAUGUUACUGUAUGCAUGAAAAGCUUCGUAAUCACUAGCAGGCUCGCUAGCUGUUGGCCCUGAAGCCGCGCAUACCGAAUCUGGGAUUUCAGAUGAUGAUGAUUAUCACUUCACAUUACUUAUGGUAUUUUCGCGGUAGAACAAAUUGAGGUUGCUGUGUGGAGGUGUAUCCUAACUACAACCCAUUGAAUGAAUCGCGAUGCCCUAGCUAUUAAGAUAAAAUAUUAAAAACAUCACAUUCAUGCAUAAAAUAACCUGUAUACGAAGAUAAUGUAA
Molecule: long non-coding RNA, 804 nt
Filed under: Volvox carteri
Lineage: Eukaryota; Viridiplantae; Chlorophyta; Chlorophyceae; Chlamydomonadales; Volvocaceae
Description: long non-coding RNA (VCAR_LNC002570)
Source: RNAcentral